RNAcentral lists this ribosomal RNA (1925 nucleotides) under human gut metagenome. Its description in RNAcentral is "bacterial LSU rRNA". It matches the Rfam family "Bacterial large subunit ribosomal RNA", at positions 427 to 2442 of the family's 2925-position model. The record is from RNAcentral.
UGAAAUCCCGUGGGAAGAUGGGGGGACCACCCUCCAAGCCAAAAUACUACCCAAUGACCGAUAGCGUAAAGUACUGUGAAGGAACGGUGAAAAGAACCCCGGGAGGGGAGUGAAAAGAACCUGAAACUCUGUGCUUACAAGCACAUAGAGCACGUCAAAGUGUGAUAUGGUACCUUUUGUAGAAUGGUCCGGCGAGUUAUGGUAUGCAGCGUGGUUAAGGACUUGAGGUCUGAAGCCGAAGCGAGAGCGAGUCUGACAAGGGCGAGAAGUUGUAUGCCAUAGACCCGAAACCGGGUGACCUAGCCAUGUCCAGGCUGAAGUGGAGGUAAAACUCCAUGGAGGGCCGAACCGACCUCCGUUGAAAAGGCGGCGGAUGAGAUGUGGCUAGCGGAGAAAUUCCAAUCGAACCCGGAUAUAGCUGGUUCUCCCCGAAAUAGCUUUAGGGCUAGCGUUGUAUUAGAUUACCGGAGGUAAAGCACUGAAUGGGCUAGGGGCUGAGAAGUUACUGAACCCUAUCAAACUAAGAAUGCCGGAUAAUUGAUGUACAGCAGUCAGACUAUGUGAGAUAAGUCUCAUAGUCAAAAGGGAAACAGCCCAGACCCACAGCUAAGGUCCCAAAAUGGAUUUAAGUGGAAAAGGAUGUGGAAUUGCACAGACAACCAGGAUGUUGGCUUAGAAGCAGCCACUCAUUAAAAGAGUGCGUAAUAGCUCACUGGUCGAGUGACUUUGCGCGGAAAAUUUAACGGGGCUAAAAUACACACCGAAGCUUGGGCUUGACGCUUUUGCGUCAGGGGUAGGGGAGCGUCGUGUAAGGGGCGAAGUCGUAUCGUAAGGGACGGUGGACUUUACACGAGUGAGAAUGCCGGAAUGAGUAGCGAGAAUUAUGUGAGAAUCAUAAUGGCCGAAAGUCUAAGGUUUCCUGAGGAAGGUUCGUCCGCUCAGGGUUAGCCGGGAGCUAAGGUGAGGCGGAAACGCGUAGCCGAUGCACAUACGGUAGAAAUUCCGUAGCCUCCGAAAAUUUAAACACAGGGACACUUUUGAAGGGCUGAGCCGGGCGUUGGUUGCCCCGGUCGUAAGGGACGCGAUAGAGCGGAAGUCAGUUUGGAGAGAGGCGAGAAAAGCUGUGUGGAUAUGGAAGGAGCCCGUACCGCAAACCGACACAGGUAGACAGGAAGAAGAUUCUAAGGCCAGCGGGAGAAAGGUUGUUAAGGAACUCGGCAAGUUGACCCCGUAACUUCGGGAGAAGGGGUGCUUACGAAGGUAAGCCGCAGAGAAUAGGCCCAAGCGACUGUUUAGCAAAAACACAGCUCUAUGCUAAAUCGAAAGAUGACGUAUAUGGGGUGACACCUGCCCGGUGCUGGAAGGUUAAGAGGAGAUGUGAGAGCAUUGAAUUGAAGCCCCAGUAAACGGCGGCCGUAACUAUAACGGUCCUAAGGUAGCGAAAUUCCUUGUCAGGUAAGUUCUGACCCGCACGAAUGGUGUAACGAUUUGGGCACUGUCUCAACAACCUACCCGGCGAAAUUGUAGUACCGGUGAAGAUGCCGGUUACCUGCGACUAGACGGAAAGACCCCAUGGAGCUUCACUGCAGCUUAAUAUUGAAUUUUGGUAUUUCAUGUACAGGAUAGGUGGGAGACUGGGAAAUACAGGCGUCAGCUUGUGUGGAGUCGUUGUUGGGAUACCACUCUUGAAGUGCUGAAAUUCUAACCUGUGGCCUUGAAUCAGGUCAGGGGACAUUGUUAGGCGGGCAGUUUGACUGGGGCGGUCGCCUCCUAAAAGGUAACGGAGGCGCUCAAAGGUUCGCUCAGCAUGGACGGAAACCAUGCCAGAGAGUGUAAACGCAAAAGCGAGCCUAACUGCGAGACUGACGGGUCGAGCAGUAACGAAAGUUGGAGUUAGUGAUCCGGCGGUAUGUGAAUGGAAAUGC